CAACUACUCCCUCUGUCCCAAAAUUCUUGUCUUAGAUUUGUCUAGAUACGGAUGUAUCUAAUACUAAAAUGUGACUUGAUACAUCCGUAUCUAGACAAAUCUAAGACAAGGGGACGGAGGGAGUACUUU
Triticum aestivum (bread wheat) is the source of this 129-nucleotide non-coding RNA. The record is from Rfam. NCBI's taxonomy places the organism in Eukaryota, Viridiplantae, Streptophyta, Magnoliopsida, Poales, Poaceae.